GGAGAGGUGGCCGAGCUUGGCCGAAGGCGCACGCCUGCUAAGCGUGUAUAGGGGCAAAACCUCUAUCGUGGGUUCAAAUCCCAUCCUCUCCGCCA
Molecule: transfer RNA, 95 nt
Filed under: Desulfovibrio sp. X2
Lineage: Bacteria; Pseudomonadati; Thermodesulfobacteriota; Desulfovibrionia; Desulfovibrionales; Desulfovibrionaceae
Description: tRNA-Ser
Rfam family: tRNA
About the family: Transfer RNA (tRNA) molecules are approximately 80 nucleotides in length. Their secondary structure includes four short double-helical elements and three loops (D, anti-codon, and T loops). Further hydrogen bonds mediate the characteristic L-shaped molecular structure. tRNAs have two regions of fundamental functional importance: the anti-codon, which is responsible for specific mRNA codon recognition, and the 3' end, to which the tRNAs corresponding amino acid is attached (by aminoacyl-tRNA synthetases). tRNAs cope with the degeneracy of the genetic code in two manners: having more than one tRNA (with a specific anti-codon) for a particular amino acid; and 'wobble' base-pairing, i.e. permitting non-standard base-pairing at the 3rd anti-codon position.
Source: RNAcentral